GACGAACGCUGGCGGCGUGCCUAAUACAUGCAAGUAGAACGCUGAAGGAGGAGCUUGCUUCUCUGGAUGAGUUGCGAACGGGUGAGUAACGCGUAGGUAACCUGCCUGGUAGCGGGGGAUAACUAUUGGAAACGAUAGCUAAUACCGCAUAAUAUUGACUAUUGCAUGAUAUUCAGUUGAAAGGUGCAACUUCACCACUACCACAUGGACUUUCGUUGUAUUAGGUAGUUGGUGGGGUGACGGCUCCACAAGGCGACGAUACAUAGCCGACCCGAGAGGGGGGUCGGCCACACUUGGAACGGGACCAGGCCCCGAAUUCUAAGGGAGGGCGCCGGAGGGAAUCUUCGGCAAUGGACGGAAGUCUGACCGGGGAACGCCGCGUGAGUGAAGAAGGUUUUCGGAUCGUAAAGCUCUGUUGUAAGAGAAGAACGAGUGUGGGAGUGGAAAGCUCACACUGUGACGGUAUCUUAACAGAAAGGGACGGCUAACUACGUG
Molecule: ribosomal RNA, 495 nt
Filed under: uncultured bacterium
Lineage: Bacteria
Description: partial 16S ribosomal RNA
Rfam family: Bacterial small subunit ribosomal RNA
Source: RNAcentral